Macrobrachium nipponense is the source of this 406-nucleotide long non-coding RNA. RefSeq lists it as uncharacterized. The transcript has 3 exons. The record is from RefSeq and is a predicted model, not a curated record. Lineage: Eukaryota; Metazoa; Arthropoda; Malacostraca; Decapoda; Palaemonidae.
AGUUCACGAAAGUCUCCUGAGGUCCACAUCCGUUCCUGCCGGUGCCGUCAGGGCAGUAACCCCAGUUGUUUCCUGUGGGUGAUGAAGGAAUGCAAAUCAGCUGCGACAGAGAUCCUAUUUGGUGUUCUGUAUGAUAAGGUGUCAUCAUGUCAACCGUGUAGGUCGCUCUGUGCAUUCGACCCAGUUUCAAAAAUGGUGCCACGUGGUAAACAUUCUCUCCCUCGAUGAUCUAGGGGCUCAAGGUCAAAUCUUCCAAUCUUCCUGGGAGGAGACGUCAGGAGGAAUGAGGAAACAGAGCCGUAGAAGUGGGUGGCUACGUAGACUGAAAGAAAAGUUAGAAAAGAGGGCCCUUAUUACUGAACAAGCAAGCGAGAGAGAUAGAGUAGAAGCUAGCUCGCUGGAGGUA